This 161-nucleotide ribosomal RNA is filed under the name Petrakia sp. RNAcentral's name for it is "partial large subunit ribosomal RNA". It matches the Rfam family "Eukaryotic large subunit ribosomal RNA", at positions 69 to 228 of the family's 3401-position model. The record is from RNAcentral. Lineage: Eukaryota; Fungi; Ascomycota; Dothideomycetes; Pleosporales; Melanommataceae.
CAGGGAUUGCCCCAGUAACAGGCGAGUGAAGCGGCAAUAGCUCAAAUUUGAAAUCUGGCCCUUUCAGGGUCCGAGUUGUAAUUUGAAGAGGGCGCGUUGGAGUCGACUGCACCCUAAGUUGGUUGGCAUAGGUCAUCAGAGAGGGUGAGAAUCCCGUAUGU